RNAcentral lists this long non-coding RNA (7322 nucleotides) under Triticum aestivum (bread wheat). RNAcentral describes it as "long non-coding RNA (TAES_LNC026714)". The record is from RNAcentral. Lineage: Eukaryota; Viridiplantae; Streptophyta; Magnoliopsida; Poales; Poaceae.
AAACGUACGCAAGAGAAUCGAUUACUUUGAUACUGUUAUAUGCACUAGCAUCUAUAAAGCUAGAGGCUGCCAUUGACAAUUUCCUUCUUCUCUGCACGCAGAAGAAAAGCCUACUGACCGGAAUAAAUACUCUGGAUCAAGUAGUGCUCAGGAAUCACAGUUCCGAAAGGAAAUAAUAAAGAAAAAGAUUGUCUGAACAGUGGCCAAACAUGUAGAGAACCUCUUGUGGAAAGUUCAGUUCAUCGGUUCACUGCACCGGUAUGAACAACUUCCCUGUUUUUGGCUUUGCUCUUCUGGCCCGCUUCCCGGCUCACAUGCCUUAAUCGGUGACAACUUCAUUUCCAUCUCCACUUUGGCAAAGCAAGCAUAGAUUGCAUAACAAGAUGCAACAGCAGCAAGAGAAGGAAGAGCAGGUUCACCUAUAAACAGUAAAAGAUAAACUUUAGGAUGUAAUACUCUGGAUCAAGUAGUGCUAAGGGAGCAUGCUCUCUUGCCCCUGGCUUAGAAAUCUCCUAUUUACAUAGGAUGUAAAUAAUACUGAAACUUAAGCAGGAUAAAGGAAUCGUUUCUUGUUGGAUAAACUGCACAUUUGGUGGGAUUUGCAUCGGAGUGUUACCUGGAGAUUCGGAUUCAGUGACUACCAUGAUGUGUAGUUAUUUCCUUUUGUGUUCAAACGUACGCAAGAUCGAUUACUUUGAUGCUGUUAUACUAAGAAGACUAGGCCCGUAAGGGUUCAAUUUUUCUGGUUUUUUCGGAUUUUUUUUUACCUCUGCCGAUUGAGCGACAUGUGUGUACGGUGGCUUUCAUGAAGUGGUUGAUCGCUCUCCUGGUUGCUCUCUUGGACUGUGCAUGUUUCUUCUAGAGGUGCAUGGGCUUAUCUUGUCUCAUAUGGAAAGAUGGUUUGACUGCAUGGGCUCAUUUUGUCUCAUGUGUGAAAAAUAUAUUAGCUGCAUGGACUGUUGUAUGGGCUGGUAUACGUGUGCUGCUGCAUGGCUCAUGCAUGCAUGCAUGUGUCCAACUUUGCAUGUUUGGGGUUCCACGUUUGCACACGUUUGUGUUCUGGGUCCUUCUUUGCUUGCCUAUAAGUAGCUCAUUGCUUUGUUCUUCUCUCAUGUAUCAAACCACUCCUCACCUAUAGGCCCAUCUCUCCUCCUGAUGCUGCCCUCCAGCCUCCACCCAAGAUCCGCCUGGUCGCCGCUCCGUCUAGCCAGCCGGGAGGUGCGUGCAGGCUACACCAUGAAUCAGGAGAGCCGCGUGCCAUCGUCUCCUUAUGGAUCUUCCUCGGCUCCGGCUCUGUCCCUAGCCUCCAAGGCCGGAUACAUGGUGGUCGCCUUCCCGUGGUCCAAGGUGGCAGGCCUGCAGUUGGCGCUGGAUAGCUCGCUGCCCUGCUGCUCUCCAUCCUAAUCGACUCCCCUCGGUCUUCCCCAACUUCGGCCCCGACAACAGGCCCCCUUCAUCUGCCUUUCCUCUCCUCUAGGGUGCGUGGUUUCCUUGUACGAGUAGAUGAGUUAUUUGUACUAGAAUUUCAUCAGAUCUAAAGUUGGGUGCAUAUGCUACAAAUUGUUAAUCUAAGAAAAUAUUCAGGCACUACGUGAAUGUCUGUGCUAAGGACACAAAUUUGGGGAUCCUUGCGUGAAUGUGCAAGGAAUUCAGAAUCUACAUCUUUAAUAUGACAUGGUAUUUUUGUUCUUAAUCUCUCCAUUACGUUGUGUUCCAUUUUUCUCAAUGGAAGUAAUUGUGGUUUAAUUUCACAUGAUUUUUAAACAAAUAAACACAUGAUGUGCUGAAUAGCUGACAUACAGAGAAAAUGGUACAGCUUGAUGACUAUUGUAGUACUAAAUUAUUCUCAGGUAUUUAUUGUUCAUUUUGUGAUAGUUUUCUCUCUCCUAAAAGUAAAACGAAUCAUUUUUAAUUCUUUGAACAAGUUUGCCUAAAGUAGGGCGCUCAGCCAUUGAGGCAUUAUCAAUUUCUUUUAGAAGCUUCGCAAAAUCUGCUCUUGUACUAAAGAAAUCUAAUGUAGAUUUGUUAGCCUCAUAGGGUACUAUAUGCUGAACACAUGAUAUUAAACAUAGAGUAAAUUGCACUAUGAAGUGAGUAUGUAUGUAGUAUCCACACAGGAUUGCCAUUUUUGGAGCUAUUGCUGGGAUCAUCAUGGAUUGGGAUGCAUUCUGAUAAUAAGAUAUUAGGUAUUGAUAUGUGAUAUGUAUGCCACACUUGACUUCAUCAUCCUUUGUUUUCAGAUGUAUUCUUUAGGCACACAUUAAUGUGGUAGCUUGGUCAUAUUCUGUACCUAAUUUAGUCACCACAAUACUCGGGUUUUUUCCCCGAAUCUCACUAUAAAGAACUUCCACUUGCCAUCUCUAUAUGGAUUUUCUUUUUGCUACUGAUUUUGGCUAAAGGUUUUUCUGCUCUCAUCUCUAUAUGGAUAUGCUUUUUUUCAGGUUAGUAGUUUAGGAGUUCCUGCCAACACUGGUUUUUGGAAGUUAUACUCACUUCACCAGUUGGGCUUAACAAGGACAUAAUUAAUUCUCUGUUGGUAAUUAGAAGGAAAAAAAAUCUGGUUGGAGAAAACAUCUCUUUUGCUUAAUUGUUUGCUUCAUAAUUUUAGUAAUAUUUUUUUUCAUUUUUUUAGGUUAGUAGUAUGGGAGUACCUGUCAUGAAUAACUUUUGGAAGUUAUGCUAGCCUCAUCAGUUGGGUUUCUAUACCAAACUAGACUCAAUAUAAUUUAUGUUGGUGCUUGCGAUGAGUAUUACAGAGGGGUGAUGACCACAUAGUUCACCCAGUGUAUCUGUUCAUGUAUGUUAUUAAUUAUCUAAUUAGACAAACAAAAACUCUGUCUGUAUGGUGUUUGCGAUGAUGCUAUCAAUUCACUGAACACUAAAAUACAAGGUUGUGAUUUUCAAAUCUAGCAAAUAAAUUUUCUCCAAUGCUUCUUUUCCAGGCAGAAGUUUUAGUCUAUUCUAUGCCAUGAGUCUUACUGUCAAAAAAAUACUAUAUGGUAGCAUCAGAAGUUGUCUCCAUCAGAUAGAACACUGCCUAAUAGCUAGAUUCAUUUUAUUACUGUAUAGCCAUGGUGACAAAAAAAUUCAGAUAACAAGAAACAAUUCUGUCAAAUAUUCUCAGCGGAGAUACUGUUGCGGUCUAUAAGAAAAAAAAUGUUAAUUAUUUAUUAAACAGAAAACUAUGUUAUGCAUACCAACAGAUGCUAAACAAUCAGACUACCUGACAGAAAAGUAUAUAUACAUUAGUUAAAUUUCAUUCCAAAAAUAGAUGAUGUAUUGGUAGAUGUUAAUCAUACAAGAACACGAGGAUGACAAACAUAAAUUAAUCAUAUAUAUUAUCAUCACAGGUCGAUCUAACUGGUGGUAGUUUUUCUUUGCAAUGAAAACAAAUUUGAAUCAAAUGAUUCAAACAACCAAAAAGAAGGAAACAAAGGAUGCUUAUGGAUCUGAAUGGGUUAGGACGCUCCACUACUUGCAAGUAAUACAUAUAGAUCCAGCGACUCAGUGGCAGAGCUACUCUCGACAACACCGCACUGGCUCUACCCGGAGUCAUCACGGAAAUUACAACAAGAAAUGUGAAGUAAUUAGUACUCCCACCGUUUGUUUUUAUAAGAAGUUUCAGACAGCUUGCUUUGUAUUCUUUUAAACAGUGUCUGAAUGUCUAAAACAUCUUAUAAAAAGGAACAGAGAUAGUAUUUUUUUUCCAUGGGCAUAUGACCGCCGGCCAGUUGCCUUUGUGCUCAUGCCGGUGUUGUACCAGUAAAUUGACUCCAUCACUGCAGCGACCUGAAAGAACAUCAACUGUUUGUGGAGUUGGGAAUUUCUUCUCCGAGGAGAGAAAUGUUUAGUAUGUCUCUAAAUCACUCAACUGUCCUCCCGGACAAAGAUGAGUUUAAUAUGGUCCGUCGAUACAGAGAAGGCCUGCUAUCACAUACCGCUUAUUGGGUUGUGUAACAUUUAAUCUCAUUCCAACUCCACAUAUCCAACAAAGAAGCUUAUACCAAAAAAAAAAGAGCGGUUUUUUGUAGCACGAGCUACACGGUACCCCUAUCAAAACCGCCGUGUUUUGAAAUUAGCAGUGUAGCAGUGCUUUUGUCCACAGGCCCGUCAUAUCCAUUGCUAGCUUUUGUCCACAGGCGUCUGGAUGCAUGCUUUUGUCCACAGGCCCGUCAUAUCCAUUGCCAGCGUGAGGCCCUAGUUAGCUUUUUCAGAGACUGCAAUGUCACUGUACUCACGCGGCUACUGCUUCCCUUCUCAGCAUGCGCCUGCAACGAGUAGCGCCCGGCUGCGUCCUCGAGUCGUGUAGCACCUUGGGUGGCGGCAGGGUAAUGCGCAUGUCAGAGGAGGCUGAGCGGUGCCAUUUUUUUAUCUGUUUUUUUUAUGUUUACAAGAUAAAUGUGUACAAUCUCUAAAAAUCUCAACUCGAAACUCGAAGUGCACACAGAGAUAAAAAAGACGAAAUUACUCUACGGACGACAGAUACCAACCGAACUGUGGACGACGGGAGGAUUCAACGGCGAUGUUCACUUUUGGACUAUGCAUGGAUGGCCGGAUGCCCUUUAUCGUCUGCAAAUCGUCCAGAGUGUGUCGUUUGUGUAGCACAGCUCUAAAAAAGAAGAUAAUUCGAACAUGAAUAAUGUCACAAGAAGACAAAAGCAAAAAUGAUACUAUUUCACAUAUGAAUUUGUCUUUUUUAUCUACAUGACUGGAGUAAAUUGCAGAAAACCACCACUUUGAAGGCAAGCUUUGCGAAAACCAUUACAAUACAUUUUUUUUUGCAAAAAACACCGUGUCUACGGUAAUCUUUUUGCAGAAAGCACUGAUCGGCGGAUUGGAGCGUUUUAAGUAUGUUUAUGACAAGUGGGUCCAGAUUUUGCCGACGUGGCGUAACGGCUCUGUCAAAACAGCGUUAGAUGGGGGAUUUUACAAGGAGGCCCUUACGUCAAAAUAAAAAAAGCAAUCAACUCCAUGGACGAGCUCUUCUUCGCCAGCGGCGUGGCCGCGCCGGCGAUGCAGCCCCAACGACGCGGGCAGAGAUGACCCCCUACGGGGUCUGGACGAACUGGAGGGAGGCGAGGCGGUUCCUGACGGGUUCGGCUGCUGUCACCGCCGGCGAGGACUGCCUGAGCUGGGGAGGACCAGCGGGCUCAGGCACACCACAAACCUCGAGAUCCCGUCGCCGUUGGCGCCUGCUGGUGAUGGUGCCUGGCCGGGGAGGGCGACGAGAACCACCAGCUGCUGCUCGUGCUGCCUCCUGGGGACUCGGGCUCCUCGUCCACCGGCCGCGGCAGCGACGAGGAUGACGCGUCCGGCCUGGGCGAGGCAACGGCGGCUGGGCGAGGGAACGGCGGCGCGGGCCUAGCGAGGCAACGGCGGCGACGAGCCUGGCGAGGCAACGGCGGCGGCGGGCCUGGGCGAGGGAACGGCGGCGGCGGGCCUAGCGAGGCAACGACGGCGACAAGCCUGGCGAGGCAACAGCGACGGUGGACCUGGUGAAGAUAAGAUGAACCACCAUUUUUCUUUUUUCUUCCAAUGACAGGUGGACCCACAUAGGGAUGAUAACGUUACCAGACGUUGCCGUUACAUGCGAGAUGUUAAGCUGUGCCACAUCAGCCUAACUGGCGGGUCCCCUCUGUCAUAAACUCACUUAUCUGAGCCCGAUCCGCCGAUCAAUACUUUCUGCAAAAAGAUUACUGUAGACACGGUGUUUUUUGCAAAGAAAAUGUAUUGUAGUGGUUUUCGCAAAGCUUGCCUUCAAAGUGGUGGUUUUAUGCAAUUUACUCACAUGACCGAGUUUGGAGUUGAAAUUUUAAGGGGUUGUACACACUUAUCUUGUGAACAUCCACACACAAAAUCAGAAUUUUUUUAUAUUUAAAAAAUUGAGUUUUGUGAGAUUGGAUCAUGGUGUAGCACCUAAUCCAUGUGAGCACUAGAUAUUCUCUUGACAUACAUGCCAACGCGGUCUCUCUCUCCUCCCGUUUCCUGUCUUUGGAGGAAGUCAGACAUGCAUGCAGAAAGGAAAGUGAGAGAGCGCCCGCGAGAGAGAAAGAAACAUGUUCCUUCAGCGAAGUGACGGAGAGAGAAGAGCUAACGCAUGGCGACAACUGGUUCUGCUAAUAGUCUGACUCUGCCUCCAGCCAUUGCACACAUACCAAACUGAACAGACGGUGGUGAUACUGGGCACCGUGGAGCUCGGGCUAGGGAAGAACUUUGCGCAAAGAGAAAGCUACAAAUUGGAUGAUUGAUUCCUAUGAAAUUCAUGUUACACAUAUUUUAUUUCAAAAAGGGGAUUACCCGGCCCUCUGCAUCAAAUGACGCACACAUUCAUAUUAUUAAACAUAAAUCAAGUUACAAUCACGGAGUUCCAGACUUAUUUCAUCAAGUAGUUUUCUUCUAUUUGAACUCAAUUUCUUCUAUUUCUCUGAGCCGUGAGCUUAUAUCAGCGGUGAGCUCAUAUAUAUUCUGCAUUGUGAACUCAUUUUAGUUUUAUAUAUGAACUCAUUAGGUGAACUCAUCACGGUUUUUUGGCAGAUGUGAACUUAUUUCAUAUUCAUCUAUGAAUAAUGGUUGACGUGUCUGUAUAUCUCUCCCAUGCCAAUGUACAUAAAUUUGAGGUCUACAUACUUUUGCCACUUCUACCUACAAUUCCAUUCCUGUCUUUGAAUAAGCUACAGCAAGUGCAACAAAACAGAUUGCAACAAGUAGCUUAUGGGCUGAAAUUUGCGGUAUUAUUCAUUUGUCGUAUUGUCGCUCAGUUCAUCGUGGCUGUGAAACUAAACGUGACAUGAUAUUUUUUAUGUAAUUUCUAAAUUGCAAUCCAUAAUCAAGGACAAGACUACAAUAAAUGUGACUUACAUGCUCCUUGCAUUCAACACCUUCAGGACCUGCACGCAUCCAUCUCCUCCUCCGGCCGUUGCUGCCAUUAAGCCACUUGCUCAGGACCUGCACAAGCCAUCCACCUUCUCUUCAGCACCAGCCUCGCCACUAGAAUGCUUCUCCAGCAGGGGAGGGCAAGCACCCGCGGAGAGCUGCGUUGUCGUGUGCGGGCGUGGGGGAGAACCCGCGGCGAGCUGCGGUGGCUUGUGUAGGCAUCCGCGCGGCGAGGACGAGCUGUGCCGGCGCCUGCAGACAUGGACUAGCACCGGCAACGAGCCGCAGUGGCUCACGCAGGCAUCAGCAAGGCAUGGGCCAUCGGCGGGGGAGCUACGGUUGCGCAUGGGCAAGCUAUGGCGGAGAGAUGCGGUGGCUCGCGCAAGAGGUACGGCGACAAGCUAGCCCGAGAGCAAUCCUAUCCAACCAGUCCACACGCAUCAGAUAAG